UGCGCACUCCUACGGGAGGCAGCAGUGGGGAAUUUUGGACAAUGGGCGAAAGCCUGAUCCAGCAAUGCCGCGUGUGUGCUGAAGGCCUUCGGGUUGUAAAGCACUUUUGGCGGGAACGAAAAGGACCGUGCCAAUACCAUGGUCUGAUGACGGUACCCGCAGAAUAAGCACCGGCUAACUACGUGCCAGCAGCCGCGGUAAUACGUAGGGUGCAAGCGUUAAUCGGAAUUACUGGGCGUAAAGAGUGCGCAGGCGGUUUUGCAAGACCGAUGUGAAAUCCCCGGGCUUAACCUGGGAACUGCAUUGGUGACUGCAAGGCUAGAGUGUGUCAGAGGGAGGUGGAAUUCCGCAUGUAGCAGUGAAAUGCGUAGAUAUGCGGAGGAACACCGAUGGCGAAGGCAGCCUCCUGGGAUAACACUGACGCUCAUGCACGAAAGCGUGGGGAGCAAACAGGAUUAGAAACCCCCGUAGUCCAGAAGUG
This 481-nucleotide ribosomal RNA is filed under the name uncultured bacterium. RNAcentral describes it as "bacterial SSU rRNA". It matches the Rfam family "Bacterial small subunit ribosomal RNA", at positions 330 to 804 of the family's 1533-position model. The record is from RNAcentral.